RNAcentral lists this ribosomal RNA (494 nucleotides) under uncultured bacterium. RNAcentral describes it as "partial 16S ribosomal RNA". It matches the Rfam family "Bacterial small subunit ribosomal RNA", at positions 28 to 507 of the family's 1533-position model. The record is from RNAcentral.
GACGAACGCUGGCGGCGCGCUUAACACAUGCAAGUCGAACGGAAAGGCCUGCUUUCCCUUGUGGAUUGCGGGUACUCGAGUGGCGAACGGGUGAGUAACACGUGAGUGAUCUGCCCCCAACUUGGGUAUAAGCCUGGGAAACUGGGUCUAAUUCCCGAUAGGACUGCAGGGUGGUGCCUGUGGUGGAAAACGAUUUUCAUGUGGUUGGGGAUGAGCUCGCGGCCUAUCAGCUUGUUGGUGGGGUAAUGGCCUACCAAGGCGGCGACGGGUAGCCGGCCUGGGAGGGUGGACGGGCACGUUGGGACUGAGAUACGGCCCAGGCUCCUACGGGAGGCAGCAGUGGGGAAUAUUGCACAAUGGGCGGAGGCCUGAUGCAGCGACGCCGCGUGGGGGAUGACGGCCUUCGGGUUGUAAACUCCUUUCGACCGCGAGGAAGCCACCUGGUUGGAAGGGUGGUGACGGUAGUGGUAGAAGAAGCACCGGCUAACUACGUG